This 305-nucleotide ribosomal RNA is filed under the name uncultured bacterium. Its description in RNAcentral is "bacterial SSU rRNA". It matches the Rfam family "Bacterial small subunit ribosomal RNA", at positions 333 to 634 of the family's 1533-position model. The record is from RNAcentral.
UAUUGCCUACGGGGCGCAGCAGUGAGGAAUAUUGGUCAAUGGGCGGAAGCCUGAACCAGCCAAGUCGCGUGGGGGAAUAAGGCCCUACGGGUCGUAAACCUCUUUUGCCGGGGAGCAAGGGCGGGGACGUGUCCCGGCCCGGAGAGUACCCGGAGAAAAAGCAUCGGCUAACUCCGUGCCAGCAGCCGCGGUAAUACGUAGGUGGCAAGCGUUGUCCGGAUUUACUGGGUGUAAAGGGCGUGCAGCCGGGAAGACAAGUCAGAUGUGAAAUCCCGCGGCUCAACCGCGGAACUGCAUUUGAAACU